AUUGAACGCUGGCGGCAGGCCUAACACAUGCAAGUCGAGCGGAUGAAGGGAGCUUGCUCCUGGAUUCAGCGGCGGACGGGUGAGUAAUGCCUAGGAAUCUGCCUGGUAGUGGGGGAUAACGUCCGGAAACGGGCGCUAAUACCGCAUACGUCCUGAGGGAGAAAGUGGGGGAUCUUCGGACCUCACGCUAUCAGAUGAGCCUAGGUCGGAUUAGCUAGUUGGUGGGGUAAAGGCCUACCAAGGCGACGAUCCGUAACUGGUCUGAGAGGAUGAUCAGUCACACUAGAAGUGAGACACGGUCCAGACUCCUACGGGAGGCAGCAGUGGGGAAUAUUGGACAAUGGGCGAAAGCCUGAUCCAGCCAUGCCGCGUGUGUGAAGAAGGUCUUCGGAUUGUAAAGCACUUUAAGUUGGGAGGAAGGGCAGUAAGUUAAUACCUUGCUGUUUUGACGUUACCAACAGAAUAAGCACCGGCUAACUUCGUG
This 484-nucleotide ribosomal RNA is filed under the name uncultured bacterium. RNAcentral describes it as "partial 16S ribosomal RNA". It matches the Rfam family "Bacterial small subunit ribosomal RNA", at positions 30 to 507 of the family's 1533-position model. The record is from RNAcentral.